AUCGAACGCUGGCGGCAGGCCUAACACAUGCAAGUCGAGCGGUUGAGGUAGCUUGCUACCGAUGCAGCGGCGGACGGGUGAGUAAUACAUGGGAAUCUGCCUGGUAGUGGGGGACAACGUUUCGAAAGGAACGCUAAUACCGCAUACGCCCUACGGGGGAAAGGGGGGAGUCGCAAGACCUCUCGCUAUCAGAUGAGCCC
This 200-nucleotide ribosomal RNA is filed under the name uncultured bacterium. Its description in RNAcentral is "partial 16S ribosomal RNA". It matches the Rfam family "Bacterial small subunit ribosomal RNA", at positions 30 to 232 of the family's 1533-position model. The record is from RNAcentral.